UGCCAGCCGCCGCGGUAAUACGGAGGGUGCAAGCGUUAAUCGGAAUUACUGGGCGUAAAGCGUGCGUAGGUGGUUUAUUAAGUCAGAUGUGAAAGCCCCGCGCUCAACGUGGGAAUAGCAUUUAGAACUGGCAGACUAGAGUCUUGGAGAGGGGAGUGGAAUUCCAGGUGUAGCGGUGAAAUGCGUAGAUAUCUGGAGGAACAUCAGUGGCGAAGGCGACUCCCUGGCCAAAGACUGACGCUCAUGUGCGAAAGUGUGGGUAGCGAACAGGAUUAGAUA
Molecule: ribosomal RNA, 279 nt
Filed under: uncultured bacterium
Lineage: Bacteria
Description: partial 16S ribosomal RNA
Rfam family: Bacterial small subunit ribosomal RNA
Source: RNAcentral